GUGAACCACUUUUGGAGAACCUUGAGCUAGUGAUGUUUAAACAGAGUUUGGCUUUAUUCAAUGGAACAGUGAAACUCUUUAGACCAAUUUGGUUUAUUGUACUUUAGAAUACUGACUGCGAAGAGUUUAAGAAAAAAUCUCUAUUCUUCAAUAUCACUUACUUUGGAAUUUGGGAAAAGUCACCUCUAGCUUCAUUAGAUACAUUUCUCAGUCUGGAAGAGAAAAUUCCGCAUCAUCCUGCCUCAUUUGAAAAUAGGUCUGUUUCAUGGGAAACGGUCCAUGUAGGAGCCUGGAAAAUGUGCAAAUUUUGCCUUCUUCAUUCUUGUGCUGAAAUAUCUAUAGUCCUAUCCUCUUCUCUGGUCCAUGGGAUACCUUUGCAACUGCUCUUAAAAUUUCAGGCAACCUCUGUACCUUUCUUAGAAGAGAGACCCUAAAGUAUUUCUUUACAUUCAAUUGCUUGGAACAGCAUAUAUUUGAGAGGUCAAAGUAGAAAGAGAAUAGUAAGCUAUUUCACUUCCUCAGUUCUUAGAUCUUCUCUGAGCCAUUUCUCUUUUACUCUGAUCAUUCAAAGAAUUCCAUGAUAUUGCUUUAC
This 592-nucleotide long non-coding RNA is filed under the name Mustela putorius furo (domestic ferret). RNAcentral describes it as "lncRNA (ENSMPUG00000030391.1)". The record is from RNAcentral. Lineage: Eukaryota; Metazoa; Chordata; Mammalia; Carnivora; Mustelidae.